Molecule: ribosomal RNA, 429 nt
Filed under: Verrucomicrobiota bacterium
Lineage: Bacteria; Pseudomonadati; Verrucomicrobiota
Description: Verrucomicrobia bacterium partial 16S ribosomal RNA
Rfam family: Bacterial small subunit ribosomal RNA
Source: RNAcentral
UAGGGAAUCUUCCGCAAUGGACGAAAGUCUGACGGAGCAACGCCGCGUGAGUGAAGAAGGAUUUCGGUUCGUAAAACUCUGUUGUUAGGGAAGAAAAAAUGUAUAGUAACUAUAUACAAAAGAGACGGUACCUAACCAGAAAGCCACGGCUAACUACGUGCCAGCAGCCGCGGUAAUACGUAGGUGGCAAGCGUUGUCCGGAAUUAUUGGGCGUAAAGCGCGCGCAGGUGGUUUAGAAAGUCUGAUGUGAAAGCCCACGGCUCAACCGUGGAGGGUCAUUGGAAACUAAUAAACUUGAGUGCAGGAGAGAAAAGUGGAAUUCCUAGUGUUGCGGUGAAAUGCGUAGAGAUUAGGGGGAACACCGGUGGCGAAAGCGGCUUUUUGGCCUGCAACUGACACUGAGGCGCGAAAGCGUGGGGAGCAAACAGG